RNAcentral lists this ribosomal RNA (744 nucleotides) under uncultured soil bacterium. RNAcentral describes it as "bacterial SSU rRNA". It matches the Rfam family "Bacterial small subunit ribosomal RNA", at positions 8 to 796 of the family's 1533-position model. The record is from RNAcentral.
AGAGUUUGAUCAUGGCUCAGAGCGAACGCUGGCGGCAGGCCUAACACAUGCAAGUCGAACGGGCCCUUUCGGGGGUCAGUGGCAGACGGGUGAGUAACGCGUGGGAACGUGCCCAUCGGUUCGGGAUAACCCAGGGAAACUUGGGCUAAUACCGGAUACGCCCUUUUGGGGAAAGAUUCAUUGCCGAUGGAUCGGCCCGCGUCUGAUUAGCUAGUUGGUGGGGUAAUGGCCUACCAAAGCAGCGAUCGGUAGCUGGUCUGAGAGGAUGACCAGCCAGACUGGGACUGGGACACGGCCCAGACUCCUACGGGAGGCAGCAGUUAGGAAUUUUGGGCAAUGGCCGCAAGGCUGACCCAGCAACGCCGCGUGGGGGAUGAAGGCUCUCGGGUUGUAAACCCCUUUUCCCAGGGACGAUGAUGACGGUACCUGGGGAAUCAGCCCCGGCUAACUACGUGCCAGCAGCCGCGGUAAUACGUAGGGGGCAAGCGUUGUCCGGAUUUAUUGGGCGUAAAGCGCGCGUAGGCGGCGCGACAAGUCGGCCGUGAAAUCUCCCGGCUCAACUGGGAGGGGACGGGCGAGACUGUCGGGCUGGAGGCGGGCAGGGGGCAGUGGAAUUCCGGGUGUAGUGGUGGAAUGCGUAGAGCUCCGGAGGAACACCAGUGGCGAAGGCGGCUGCCUGGGCCUGGCCUGACGCUGAGGCGCGAAAGCGUGGGGAGCGAGCCGGAUUAGAUACCCCCGUAGUCC